This 208-nucleotide ribosomal RNA is filed under the name Clostridioides difficile. RNAcentral's name for it is "partial 23S ribosomal RNA". It matches the Rfam family "Bacterial large subunit ribosomal RNA", at positions 2091 to 2297 of the family's 2925-position model. The record is from RNAcentral. Lineage: Bacteria; Bacillati; Bacillota; Clostridia; Peptostreptococcales; Peptostreptococcaceae.
CCAUGGAGCUUUACUGUAGCUUGACAUUGGGUCUUGGUACUACAUGUACAGGAUAGGUGGGAGGCUUUGAAACCAGGACGCCAGUUUUGGCGGAGCCAUCCUUGGGAUACCACCCUUGUAGUACUGGGACUCUAACCAUAGGCCAUGAAUCUGGUCUUGGGACACUGUCAGGUGGGCAGUUUGACUGGGGCGGUCGCCUCCCAAAAGG